UACGUAGGAAGCAAGCGUUGUCCGGAAUCACUGGGCGUAAAGCGCGUGUAGGCGGUAUGGCAAGUCUGCUGUGAAAGCUCUCGGCUUAACCGGGAGAGGUCGGUGGAAACUGCCACACUGGAGGACGGUAGAGGGGGGUGGAAUUCCCGGUGUAGUGGUGAAAUGCGUAGAGAUCGGGAGGAACACCUGUGGCGAAAGCGCUCUGCUGGACUGCAACUGACACUCAGGGACGAAAGCUAGGGGAGCGAAUGGG
This 253-nucleotide ribosomal RNA is filed under the name uncultured bacterium. RNAcentral describes it as "partial 16S ribosomal RNA". It matches the Rfam family "Bacterial small subunit ribosomal RNA", at positions 524 to 776 of the family's 1533-position model. The record is from RNAcentral.